This 403-nucleotide ribosomal RNA is filed under the name Bacteroidota bacterium. RNAcentral describes it as "Bacteroidetes bacterium partial 16S ribosomal RNA". It matches the Rfam family "Bacterial small subunit ribosomal RNA", at positions 355 to 776 of the family's 1533-position model. Lineage: Bacteria; Pseudomonadati; Bacteroidota. The record is from RNAcentral.
UGGGGAAUAUUGCACAAUGGGGGAAACCCUGAUGCAGCGACGCCGCGUGAACGAAGAAGGUAUUCGUAUCGUAAAGUUCUGUCCUAUGGGAAGAUAAUGACAGUACCAUAGAAGAAAGCUCCGGCUAAAUACGUGCCAGCAGCCGCGGUAAUACGUAUGGAGCGAGCGUUGUCCGGAAUUAUUGGGCGUAAAGGGUACGCAGGCGGUUUAAUAAGUCGAAUGUUAAAGAUCGAGACUCAUCCCCGUAAAGCAUUGGAAACUGAUAAACUUGAGUAGUGGAGAGGAAAGUGGAAUUCCUAGUGUAGUGGUGAAAUACGUAGAUAUUAGGAGGAAUACCAGUAGCGAAGGCGACUUUCUGGACACAAACUGACGCUGAGGUACGAAAGCGUGGGGAGCAAACAGG